CCUACGGGUGGCAGCAGUGGGGAAUAUUGCACAAUGGGCGCAAGCCUGAUGCAGCCAUGCCGCGUGUGUGAAGAAGGCCUUCGGGUUGUAAAGCACUUUCAGCGGGGAGGAAGGCGGUGAGGUUAAUAACCUCAUCGAUUGACGUUACCCGCAGAAGAAGCACCGGCUAACUCCGUGCCAGCAGCCGCGGUAAUACGGAGGGUGCAAGCGUUAAUCGGAAUUACUGGGCGUAAAGCGCACGCAGGCGGUCUGUCAAGUCGGAUGUGAAAUCCCCGGGCUCAACCUGGGAACUGCAUUCGAAACUGGCAGGCUAGAGUCUUGUAGAGGGGGGUAGAAUUCCAGGUGUAGCGGUGAAAUGCGUAGAGAUCUGGAGGAAUACCGGUGGCGAAGGCGACCCCCUGGACAAAGACUGACGCUCAGGUGCGAAAGCGUGGGGAGCAAACAGGAUUAGAUACCCCGGUAGUC
This 465-nucleotide ribosomal RNA is filed under the name uncultured Klebsiella sp. RNAcentral describes it as "bacterial SSU rRNA". It matches the Rfam family "Bacterial small subunit ribosomal RNA", at positions 338 to 795 of the family's 1533-position model. The record is from RNAcentral. Lineage: Bacteria; Pseudomonadati; Pseudomonadota; Gammaproteobacteria; Enterobacterales; Enterobacteriaceae.